GUGCUCGCUUCCACAGCACAUACUGAAACCUGGAACAAUACAGAGAAGAUUAGCAUGGCCCCUGCACAAGGAAUUUUGUCACAGUAGCAAAGUGACAAAUAUAAUA
Small nuclear RNA from Mesocricetus auratus (golden hamster), 106 nucleotides. The record is from Ensembl. Lineage: Eukaryota; Metazoa; Chordata; Mammalia; Rodentia; Cricetidae.